This 640-nucleotide long non-coding RNA is filed under the name Calidris pugnax (ruff). RNAcentral describes it as "lncRNA (ENSCPUG00000008050.1)". The record is from RNAcentral. Lineage: Eukaryota; Metazoa; Chordata; Aves; Charadriiformes; Scolopacidae.
UAGGAAUGAUUUUAUUGGAGGUUUGGCAGAGGACAAGUGCCUGCAGAAAAUAACCAGUAGCUUCUCAGGCUGCUAAGAGCACGGAAAGCCACGGGAGUGUCAGCAAGACCAUCAUCUACAACUGCCCAGUUUUAACAGCUUGCAAGGACUAAGAGGUCUGCUGAGAGUGUGUUGUGGCAGCAGGAAGACAGCAAACACACCAGCAGUCCUUUACUUGCAGGUGAUGGCCUCCUGCAGCGAGAAGGGAUGGAUCAAAUGGCUUUCAAGGAGCUCAGUCAGUGGAGGAAUCCAGGAACAUACAGCCAAGCGGAUGAGCAACGUGCAGGUCUUCCCACCACGGCCUUUCCCAGUUAAACCGACCCUUCCCAACAGGGCACUGCAGCAAGUGUUCCCAGAAAUCCAACUCGCCUGACCACAUUUCCAGCGUCUAGAAAACCACUUGCCGAGGAAACAAGUUACUCAGGGUUGCUCAGAGAUGCUGUGACAGAAACAGGAGCUCAGCUUGGGUCCCCUGCCUCUCAGCUGGCCAACUGUACUCUGCUGGCAGCCUCCCACCAGCUCCAAGCCAAAAAAAGAGUCUCCAGUUCAAGGUAUGUUUUUGUUAUUGUGCAACGCUGUCUAUAAUUUGGGUAAAAUCCUG